GUUUCUACCAAAAUUCCCGUGGCAGUAUCCCUCUCGUCAACCCAUCUUCCUCAGUCUCCGCCAUCUUCUCCUGCGCCCCACCAAUCCGCAACACCACCCUCGACUUCUUAGCUCACCAUUACUCCCCUGACCCACCACUUCCGGUGGCUCGUGCACCUCACCUCCCUCCUUGCGACCCCGAAUACACCGAGUACAACCCAUGCGAGGAUGGUCAACGCUCCCUCAAAUUCGACAGGGACAGACUCAUAUAUAGAGAGAGACACUGCCCAGAAAAG
This 275-nucleotide unclassified non-coding RNA is filed under the name Hevea brasiliensis (rubber tree). Lineage: Eukaryota; Viridiplantae; Streptophyta; Magnoliopsida; Malpighiales; Euphorbiaceae. The record is from RNAcentral.